RNAcentral lists this long non-coding RNA (1156 nucleotides) under Homo sapiens (human). Its description in RNAcentral is "non-protein coding lnc-MMD2-3:2". The record is from RNAcentral. Lineage: Eukaryota; Metazoa; Chordata; Mammalia; Primates; Hominidae.
CAUGGUACCCAGUGCCAACCACUCCACAUUAAUCAGCCAUGUGCUGUUCCAGGGGUCACUGUCAUUCGGGGACGUGGCUGUGGGCUUCACCCGGAAAGAGUGGCAGCAGCUGGACCUGGAGCAGAGGACCCUGUACCAGGAUGUGAUGCUGGAGAUCUACAGCCACCUGCUCUCUGUGGGGUGUCAAGUCAGCAAACCAGCUGUGAUCUCCAGUUUGGAGCAGGGGAAGGAGCCAUGGAUGGAGGAGGAAGAGAUAAGGACGUGGAGCUUCCCAGCUUCAUGAAUGUAACGAACUUGGAAAAAAACUCCAUCAGAACCCAAACCUCCUUCCAUCAAAACAGCAGGUCCGCACACGUGACUUGUGCAGAAAGAGUUUGAUGUGUAACCUGGACUUCACUCCUAACGCCUACCUGGCGAGGAGGAGAUUUCAGUGCGACGGCCACGGAAACUUCUCUAUUCGAAACUUGAAACUCCACCUUCAGGAGCGAAUCCACGCGGAGGUCACCAGUGUGGCAGUGCUUUAAGCUGUGACGAGGGAGUUCCUGCAGCUCAGGGAGCCAGUAGUGAGAAACCCCACGAAUGCACGAAGUGUGGGAAAGCCUUGUGCUGCAGAUCGGACCUCAGGGUACAUCACGGGGUCCACGCGGGGGAGAAGUCCUCUGCGUGCAGUGAACGGGGGAGUGGUUUCAGGGAGAAGCUUUGCCCUGACAAACAGGGAACUCACACAAAGGAGAAACCCGCUAGAGACAGAAGUGGUAAAACGAUCUUCCGGAAGACACGCCUGUGUGUCCCGGGCACAGUUCACGCCGGAGCGAAGCCUUACAAGUGUUGGGAGUGUGAGAAAACCUCCCACAAGUCGCGCCUCAUCGAGCACCUUCGCUCCCACCCGGGGGAGAAGCCCUGCGGCUGCAGGGAAUGCGGAAAGGCCUUUUUCCAGAAGUCACACCUCAUCCUGCGUCAGAGGACUCACACGGGGGAGAAGCCCUGCGGCUGCGCGGAGUGCGGGAAAGCUGCUCCCAGGACUCCUGCCUCCUGACCCACAGGCGGACUCGCGGGGAAGAAACCGUACGAGUGCUCCGACUGCGGGAAGACCUCCCGGAAGGCGAACCUCAUCCGCCACCACGGGAUCCACACGAGGGAGAAGCUGCAUGGGUGA